AGAAAGAGAGUCUGUCAAAUAAGCCAAGAUGACUGCCUGAAAACCUACAUAAGGGUUACAUAUAUAUAAUGUAAAGCAUAACCCAAAUAGUUAUAGGAGCAGGCAAGUCAUUCUUGGCUAUCAAACAAGACUCUUUUUC
This is a non-coding RNA of Ricinus communis (castor bean), 139 nucleotides long. The record is from Rfam. Lineage: Eukaryota; Viridiplantae; Streptophyta; Magnoliopsida; Malpighiales; Euphorbiaceae.